This 1669-nucleotide long non-coding RNA is filed under the name Hordeum vulgare. RNAcentral describes it as "long non-coding RNA (HVUL_LNC011296)". The record is from RNAcentral. Lineage: Eukaryota; Viridiplantae; Streptophyta; Magnoliopsida; Poales; Poaceae.
CCAUGGACGAUGCCACUACUGAGCAGCUACGGCAUACAAUGCCCCAACAAAACCACGUCUUGUACUAGUGUAUUGCGUUGCGGUUGCGGACGGGCGACAAGGCUUAUAUGGCAACAGCGAUGGGAUGACAAGGGGUUAUCUUGAGGAUCAGACAUGGAAGGACGGCACUAUCCGUCCCAAGUCCGAACAUGCUUAGGUUUAUAAUAUAACCGGGGGAGCACCUUCCUUCCGAUUCCGUCGUCAGCUCUUUAGCCUUUAUUAGGGAUGCUUGAGGACGGGCGAUUUCAGUAGGUGCGGUUAAGUCGUGAGCUGUUAAUUCAGAGGAGCCAUUCAUAGCCAUUGACGAGCUUUAGUUCAUGAUGGCCUUAUUAGGAAGGCUCGCUGGUGACCACGACCAGAAUACAAGGGAACCGCCGGUGGGGCCCAUGCUUUCGAAGGUGCGAGAUUGAGUAAAAAGCCACACCUUUUCAUUUUCUGACCUUGCCUUGAAUGUGUCGCAACACUCUUUUCCUGUCGGAAGGCAGCUUUCUUCCAAAGUGUUUUCCAGCGUGUACACGUUCACGCGAAUGUGCAGGGCUGCCCUCCCCACCUUAACCCUUGCCAGGUUUAGUGCUAAAAUGUUGUAUUUGAAAUGGGAUGCUCUCAUAGAAGUAUUUCAAACAGAACAGCUAGCUUUCACUUUCACCGGCACCAAGCUUUGAAAAUCCGUCAUUCUAAAACUAGAUGUCAUUUAUGCACGUCCGAAUCUCCUGGAAUGUCAUCUCAGGCAAAAAAUACAACCAUGACGACCAGGUCUUCAUUUGAACCAAUUCCAGUCUAAAUUACUUGUAUAGCUUCGGUACGUCAUCCUAAUUGUAUAAACCACUCGGAGCUGCUCCGACAAACAAGAAACAACAGUACCGAGCAGGAAGGGUGGAUGACGAGAUCAUCCGUAGGCACUUAGGCCUUGAGGCCUCCCUUAGCUUGACAAAUGUUGGGAAGAUUUUCAUUGCCUCUCCGACUCAGGCAAUCUCACACUCGCUCUUGUAGUCUCGUGUACAAUACAAGGUCUCUUUCUUCAACUCACAUGACCUAGUCAACAUCUAACCACGGUGUGCUUGCAGAAUCAUGCAAGGCUGGAUUCUGGGCGCUUGCCUUGUUCAGCNNNNNNNNNNNNNNNNNNNNNNNNNNNNNNNNNNNUUCAGCAGGGCAAUGCAAGCUUUCACUGUUGAGAACAAUUAAGCAAGUUCAUAAUUUUUUGAUCAUCUGAUUUUGCAGAAGUUAUUACUAACAAGAUUCCAAGCAAAUACACAAUCUGUUCUGUAGUAUAUGGUGAUGCAUUUUAGUGCUUAGGCAUUCGAUUAUCUUAAAGCUAAACCUACAUGCUUUGUAGAUCAUGUCGGCUAGUUUCCAGAAAACACCGUACGUGUUACACUCAUGGUUUGACCAUAUUCAAAAGUCAUACACACACUUCUUCUGUGUUAAUGCAUUCACCUGAAAAUGCACCUUACACACUUCUGGCUAUCUGUCCAUGUCAAGAUCCCAACAUCCCCAUCUUAACCAUAGUGUCCUUAACAACUGUCAAACACACUUGAAAUUAGUCAACAGAAGUGCUGGUAAUUGGUCACAAGUUAACAGAAAGAGUAUGAGAUACGUCAAUGAUAAAGCGGAAAGAGAUUGAGCAGACACA